Molecule: long non-coding RNA, 891 nt
Organism: Mastomys coucha (southern multimammate mouse)
Lineage: Eukaryota; Metazoa; Chordata; Mammalia; Rodentia; Muridae
Exons: 2
Source: RefSeq, a predicted model, not a curated record
UUGCUUUCUCUAAUACUAGGCAAAGUUCGCUAUGGCACAAACUGUUCAGGCUCACGGUCGCCUCCCCAAGGUCCCACAUACGGCCUGAUCACAGAACCAGCUUCUGUGACACAUGAGUAAACUUAAAGGAAGUAAGGAAGGUGUCAGCGUCACUACUCUGAAGAUGAAUGACAGAAAGUUUGGUUAGGUGACCUGGACUUGGAGGCAUGGCACUAAAAGAACAUCAGAGACCCUCUGCCCUCGACAGUCCCGGGGCUCCUCGCCUCCUCACCCGGUGACUAAGGUCCCGUCGCGUCGGAUCCCGAACUGCGCGUUCUGCAGUCCCCCAGAGCUGCUCACCAGCCGCCCAUCGCUCACCACGUUCCCCAAGCACUCGCCAGUGCCCACGCGGAAGAAGCCACCGUUCUGAGCGACGCGGCAACCGGCCGGGACCGCUGUGUCCUCCACAGUAGCGCGGCGCCUCUGCGCGCAACCUCCGGGUCCUCCGGGCUCCAGCACCGAGAAAGUGCGGAGGGGCUCGGCGACCCGCGUCAGGUGGCCGGCCACCGCGCGUCCCUCGAAGUGCGACACAAAGGUGCGCACGGCCGCGCGAUGGCUGGCGCCGGGAUUCGUGGGUGGCGGAGGCCAGCUCUCCUGCUCUGGGCUGCCCGAGCGCACCCGGGCGCAGUCCCGCGAGGGACGUCUGCGCGCGAGUGGGAUAUAAGGAUGGCUGGUGAGAUGCCUCAGCACAUAAAUGAACUCAUUGUGCAACUGCAAUCGAGACUCUGAACCCACAGAGAGGAGGAAGAAGAGAAUUGGCUGCAGAAAGUCUGGCCUACAUGUGAGCACCAUGGCCUAUGCACCACUCAUAUCACACAUACAGAUGGUAAUAACUAAUUCAACUUUCCAAGU